GGGAUCUUAAUUUAAGUGAUAAAAUAUGUGGUUUGCAUUCACAAAAUAAUGAUUCUA
Molecule: transfer RNA, 57 nt
Filed under: Marshallagia marshalli
Lineage: Eukaryota; Metazoa; Nematoda; Chromadorea; Rhabditida; Trichostrongylidae
Description: tRNA-Ala
Source: RNAcentral